AAUAUAUUUUAUUUUAGUAUGUGAAUUUCUUUGUAUCUUUUUUUACAUGUAAUUUUUUUAUUAAUAUAAUUUUUAAUAAUUUAAUUUAAUACAGUAAUUGUAAUUAAAUAUUUAAAUAAAAGUUAAAUUUAGAAAUUGAAUUUUAUUAUGAUUAACAAAUAUUGUGCCAGCAGUUGCGGUUAUUCUAUAAAUCAAAAAGAAAUUUAGUUAUAUAAAUAAUUUUACAAAAUUAAUAAAAUUCAAUUUAAUAUUAUUAGGUAAAAUUUUAAUAUUAAUUAAAAUUUAAAUUAAAAAUUUAUAAUUAUGAAAUUUAUUAAGAAAUAAGGAUUAGAUACCCUUUUAUAAAAAAUUAAAUUAUAUUGGAGUAGUAUUUAUUAUAAAUAUUAAACUCAAAAAAUUUGGCGGUAUUUUAUCUUAUUAGAGGAACCUAUUAUGUAAUUGAUAUUCCACAACUGUACUUACUUUUAUUAUUUUACUUGUAUACCGCUGUCAUGAGUGUAUAAAUAUAUUUAUUUUCUUUAAUUUUUAUAAAAUUUAUGUUAGGUCAAGGUGCAGUUUUUAAAAGUAAUUUAUGGGUUACAUUAAAAAGUAUGAAUGAAUUUUUUUUAAUUUAUAAAAAUGAAAUAGGAUUUAAAAGUAAAUUUAUUAUAAAGUUAUAUAAUGAAUAGAGAUUCUAAAAUAUGUACAUAUUGCCCGUCGCUCUUAUUUAAAAUAAGAUAAGUCGUAACAUAGUAAGUGUACCGGAAGGUGUACUUGGAAAUGA
Molecule: non-coding RNA, 763 nt
Filed under: Paurocephala sauteri
Lineage: Eukaryota; Metazoa; Arthropoda; Insecta; Hemiptera; Liviidae
Source: RNAcentral